This 273-nucleotide small nuclear RNA is filed under the name Erinaceus europaeus (western European hedgehog). Its description in RNAcentral is "7SK RNA (ENSEEUG00000021442.1)". It matches the Rfam family "7SK RNA". From Rfam's summary of the family: 7SK was discovered as an abundant small nuclear RNA in the mid-70s but a possible function has only recently been suggested. Two independent studies have found that 7SK RNA binds the CDK9/cyclin T complex (known as elongation factor P-TEFb). Lineage: Eukaryota; Metazoa; Chordata; Mammalia; Eulipotyphla; Erinaceidae. The record is from RNAcentral.
GGAUGUGAGGGCGAUCUGGCUGUGACAUCUGUCACAAUAAUUGCCAGGGUUGAUUAGACUGAUCUGCCUGGCUAGGCACGUGUCCCCUUCCUCCCUCACGGCUCCCAAGUACAUCCCAUCCCGAAGCUGAAGACUUGGUUGAAGAGGACGGCCUUCCCUGGAAGAGACCGGUAAUAAUGGAGAGAGGGAUUUAUUAGAGGUCUAGGCCCAUCAAGUCUGAUUGGAAAUCUCUGGACUCCCCGAAUAGGGCCCCAGCUGAUGGGUUGUCCUGAU